ACGGGCAUAGCUCAGUUGGUAGAGCACAGGUCUCCAAAACCUGGUGUCGGGGGUUCGAAUCCCUCUGCCCGUGCCA
RNAcentral lists this transfer RNA (76 nucleotides) under TM7 phylum sp. oral taxon 356. RNAcentral describes it as "tRNA-Trp". It matches the Rfam family "tRNA". From Rfam's summary of the family: Transfer RNA (tRNA) molecules are approximately 80 nucleotides in length. Their secondary structure includes four short double-helical elements and three loops (D, anti-codon, and T loops). RNAcentral also lists the same sequence under 3 other names. Lineage: Bacteria; Candidatus Saccharimonadota. The record is from RNAcentral.